RNAcentral lists this ribosomal RNA (497 nucleotides) under uncultured bacterium. Its description in RNAcentral is "partial 16S ribosomal RNA". It matches the Rfam family "Bacterial small subunit ribosomal RNA", at positions 28 to 507 of the family's 1533-position model. The record is from RNAcentral.
GAUGAACGCUGGCGGCGUGCCUAAUACAUGCAAGUCGAGCGAACGGACGAGAAGCUUGCUUCUCUGAUGUUAGCGGCGGACGGGUGAGUAACACGUGGAUAACCUACCUAUAAGACUGGGAUAACUUCGGGAAACCGUAGCUAAUACCGGAUAAUAUUUUGAACCGCGUGGUUCAAAAGUGAAAGACGGUCUUGCUGUCACUUAUAGAUGGAUCCGCGCUGCAUUAGCUAGUUGGUAAGGUAACGGCUUACCAAGGCAACGAUGCAUAGCCGACCUGAGAGGGUGAUCGGCCACACUGGAACUGAGACACGGUCCAGACUCCUACGGGAGGCAGCAGUAGGGAAUCUUCCGCAAUGGGCGAAAGCCUGACGGAGCAACGCCGCGUGAGUGAUGAAGGUCUUCGGAUUGUAAAACUCUGUUAUUAGGGAAGAACAUAUGUGUAAGUAACUGUGCACAUCUUGACGGUACCUAAUCAGAAAGCCACGGCUAACUACGUG